RNAcentral lists this long non-coding RNA (2122 nucleotides) under Sus scrofa (pig). Its description in RNAcentral is "lncRNA (ENSSSCG00015026294.1)". The record is from RNAcentral. Lineage: Eukaryota; Metazoa; Chordata; Mammalia; Artiodactyla; Suidae.
AUUGUGUGUAAUAUUUGCUGUAGACUUUUUUCUCCUGAAAUUGAGAUGACCAUAUGUUUUUCCCCUUUAACCUGUUCAUAUCAUUAAUUGCAUUAAUGAUUUUCUAAUGUGAAACCAACCUCUGUUUCUGAGAAAAACCAAACUUGGUCACAUGUUUUAGUAAUUAUUCUAAUGAAGGAUAUGGACUUUUUAUUUUUCUUUCUUGUAUUCAUUGUCCUUAUUAGGUUAUGAUACCUAGGUUAUAACAGAUUCAUAAAAUUAGUCACAGAGAGUACAGACUUUUUCUGUUCUCUGAAAUAGUUUGUGUAAGAUUAGAACUCUUUGUUACUGCAUUGGUUUUUAUAAAAUUGCUGAUAUUUUUCUAAACUUAAAAAUACAUUGGGAAGUUUGUACACUUUUCAGACUUUUGUGUCAAGUGCAUCAUCAUCAUAUUUAAUGCCUUUAAUUAUUCAAUCCAGGGAGGUUGGAGGUAUUAACUUCUUUUUUUUCCGGUAGAGAAAAUGAAGCUGAACAGGUUAUAGAUAAAUCUAAAGAUUAUAUAGCCACUAAAUGGCAGACUAGAACUUGAAUCAAGACUUCCUGGCUCUGAAUCCAUUGCACAGCACCACGUUUUCAUUGAUGGUCUCAGGAAGUAUUGAUAGUUGGCUGACAUGGUUUUAAAUUCUUUGGAAAAAAAUUUAUAUCGCUUCUGUCUCUUUUGAUGUUAUUGCUUGCCAUCACUUUUUUACUUUUUUUCUUUUUGCCCCACAAUUUGUUAUUUCUAAAAUGUGCUCUCAGAGACAACAUAAGUUACAAUUUUGUAACAGUGGAUAUGCUCUGAGGGUCUGAGCGCCAUUCCUAGAAGUGACUAGCAUUAGCUUCCUUUUUUGUUGUUGUUAUUUUUGUUUUUGCUUUUUAGGGCUGCACUCUUGGCAAAUGGAGGUUCCCAGGUUAGGGGUCAAAUCGGAGCUACAGUUACAGGCCUACACCGCAGCCACAGGAUCUGAGCUGCAUCUGUGACCUACACCACAGUUCAGGGCAACGCUAGAUCCUUAAUCCACUGAGCGAGGCCAGGGAUUGAACCUGCAACCUCAUAGUUCCUAGCUGGAUUUGUUUCCACUGCACCAUGAAGGGAACUUCAAACAUGAGCUUCUUAACAUCCAUUUUCCAUGCUAAGCUUUUAUCUUUGUUUCUCUCUGUUAUGAAAUUUUCAGAUUAUGAGACUGGAUUAUUUUUCUAGCAUUGAUUAGAUUAUAAAAUCUUUGAGAACUUCUUAUACAUUUCCAUAUCCCCAGUUCCAAACACAAUGCCUUACACAACACCACACACUCAUGAAAUGAAGGCUAUGGUAAUGAUUUUGUAAAACACAUGAUAAAUCAGAAUCCUCAGUUCUCUUUUUGACUGUGUCAGGAACUCUCUAUAUUGCUUAAUUUCAAAAGCCUUCAGUUUCUCAUCUGUAAAAAGGAGGAAUAUAAUUUCAUUUUCUCUAAUGACCCAACCAAUUCCAAAAUGCUAUACCGUAACUGAUAAAUAUCAUAGCAUACAGUUAAUGCUGAUAACAAUUAAAAUUGUCUUGAGAUAUUCUCUUUGUGAAAAAAUUCAACACCAGUUAUGUCGUGUCAAUGAAUGAAAUAUGUAAUAUGUUAAGACAUAUCAUUUGGAGUUCUUGUCAUGGCUCAGCAGAAAUGAAUCUGGCUAGCAUCCAUGAGGAUGCAGGUUCGAUCCCUGGCUUUGCUCAGUGGGUCAAGGUGUAGCUUGCAGACAAGGCUUGGAUCCUUUGCUGCUGUGGCUGUGGUAUAUAGGCCGGCAGGUACGGCUCCCAGCUCUAAAAAGACAAAAAAAAGUAUCAUUUAUGUUCAAAUAAGUUGUUGUUGAUAAUAUCUAACUUGGAAAAGAUGGUUUUUGUUUGAUCAGAUACUUUCCUCAAGCAGCAAAGCAGGGCAAUAAUAGAGGCCAACAAUUUUUGUUUCUAGAGUUCAGGUUAUUAACAGCCUGGCUUUUUACCAGGCAAAUUAGAACUUGCAGUAUGGGAUGGAGUUCCCGGGUGGCCUGUUGAGUGAAGGAGCUAGUGUUGUCACUGCUGUGGCUCAGGUUACUGCUGUGUGUGGGUUUGAUCCCUGGCCAAGGAACUUCUGCAUGCCAU